GCUGUUUCUGUAUAUAAAUGUUGAUGGUGAUUAAUUUCACAACGGUUGCUUUGUUCCAUUGCCUCCUAUGUCAACACUUGACUUACAAAUAGCGGUAACCUUAGAAUUAGAACGACCUUGGGACAAAACACAACUCAGGUACGAAAAGGUGACGACUUUGUCUGAUAUUACAGUACUAAUACCUGCUUGGAGUAGUGACUUGUUCACUUGGGACCAAUGUAGUGGUGUAAUCAAUGGCAGCCAUCUCUCUGGAUACUUAAUCUGUAAACGUAUUGUCAAUUCAUUCGUCGGGACAGUUUCCAUUUAUUUAUAAACAGAAAAACCUGUAUAAAAUGUUUCCCUUGAAAAAUUAAGAUAUUUAAUCUAGUUAAUGGCGCACAUUGUACACCGGUGUUGGUCCCAAAAAGUAUAACAAAGUUCAGUCUUAUUUAAUAACGUUUACAAUUCAAUGAAUUAGGUGUUGUUGAUGAAAGUGGUGAACGGAAAGUGGCCUUCGGUUUUCAUAACUUGUGUACCGACCUUCAAAAAUACAAGUACACUUGUGCACACAUAUAUGUGCAACUAUUGCAUCCUGGGAGAUGUAGAUGAUGAAUGAAAAUAAGUGUACCCGGUAAUUGGCACGAGAAAAAUAAUACGUAUCAAUUAAUACGUUUUUUGUAUGUUUUAUAUGUCUGAAAAGAUAAUCUUGUUGAAUCUGACAUUAACCCACCAUUUACCACUUUCAAUCUCUGAUCUAUCACUGAUAAGUGUCAUUUACACAACGACAGUAACUAUAUCGGGUGUUCAACGGCACACGUUCCACGUGUCUUUCAAUAUGCCAAACCGUUUUGUAUCAUUUCGAUGCUUCGUUUAAAUUAUCUACAUAUUUACAACACUACCAAUUGUAUUAACUUUCAGUAGUUGUUAAUUAGUUCAGCUAUUGCCAAUUUAUAAUUAUCGGUACAUUCUAGAUUUGAACAUGUUUUCAUUGUCUUUAAUCAUUUUAACAUAAGGACGUGGAUCUCUUUCUAAACAAACGGAAUGACGAUGUUCCUUUACUUAUCUAUUUUGCGUAAUUAAUGCCACAAUGACUGAAACCCCAUGUAACACUGCUCUCUAAUAUAACAUUUUGAUUAAAAAGUAAAAAAAAAAUAGUAAUAAAAAACGACAAGAGAUCCACGUCUUUGUAUAUUGCUACAUGUAUGGUUGUUUACUUAUGUAAACCUACAUACAGCUUCUACAAGUCUAAGAUUCUACUCCAAAUUUCACAGACAUUAUGACCUAUGACCUCUAGAGAUAUAGUGACGUAUUGCAGUGCUUUGCCAUGUGUUCUUGACAAUAUUUUUACUUUCAGUUUUUGAGAAGUUCUAAGUCAGCACUACCGCAGCCCAGCGAUUUGACGAUGUCCCUUAAACAUGAACUUGCUCACAAUAUGUGAUUAGUAAGUUGUUCUCCUCUUCGGAGGGACUACCUACCACGCAAGUUCGCCGAGAACACAGUUUCUACGUGGACAGGCGAAUUUGUCCUGGUUUCCGGUACAAGGUACGUUACGUCAGCAGAAAUGACGACGUGUUUGACGGAAAAGGGC
RNA transcript from Ylistrum balloti, 1567 nucleotides. RefSeq lists it as uncharacterized. NCBI's taxonomy places the organism in Eukaryota, Metazoa, Mollusca, Bivalvia, Pectinida, Pectinidae. The transcript has 2 exons. The record is from RefSeq and is a predicted model, not a curated record.